GGACAGUUAGCUCAGUUGGUUAGAGCGUGGUGCUGAUAAUACCAAGGUCGCAGGUUCGAUCCCCGUUCGGUCCC
Molecule: transfer RNA, 74 nt
Filed under: Apaloderma vittatum (bar-tailed trogon)
Lineage: Eukaryota; Metazoa; Chordata; Aves; Trogoniformes; Trogonidae
Rfam family: tRNA
About the family: Transfer RNA (tRNA) molecules are approximately 80 nucleotides in length. Their secondary structure includes four short double-helical elements and three loops (D, anti-codon, and T loops).
Source: Rfam by way of RNAcentral